This 116-nucleotide ribosomal RNA is filed under the name Lepisosteus oculatus (spotted gar). The record is from RNAcentral. Lineage: Eukaryota; Metazoa; Chordata; Actinopteri; Semionotiformes; Lepisosteidae.
GCCAGCAGCCAUAUCACCCUGCAACUCCCAGCUCACAGCCCACUGGAGCUCAGCAGUGUGAGCCUGGUCAGUACCUGGAGGGGAGACUCCUGGGAAAGCUGAGGCUGCUGCUGGAA